GACGAACGCUGGCGGCGUGCUUAACACAUGCAAGUCGAACGGAAAGGCCCUGCUUUUGUGGGGUGCUCGAGUGGCGAACGGGUGAGUAACACGUGAGUAACCUGCCCUUGACUUUGGGAUAACUUCAUGAAACUGGGGCUAAUACCGGAUAGGAGCUCCUGCUGCAUGGUGGGGGUUGGAAAGUUUCGGCGGUUGGGGAUGGACUCGCGGCUUAUCAGCUUGUUGGUGGGGUAGUGGCUUACCAAGGCUUUGACGGGUAGCCGGCCUGAGAGGGUGACCGGCCACAUUGGGACUGGGCUACGGCCCAGACUCCUACGGGAGGCAGCAGUGGGGAAUAUUGCACAAUGGGCGGAAGCCUGAUGCAGCAACGCCGCGUGCGGGAUGACGGCCUUCGGGUUGUAAACCGCUUUCGCCUGUGACGAAGCGUGAGUGACGGUAAUGGGUAAAGAAGCACCGGCUAACUACGUG
RNAcentral lists this ribosomal RNA (468 nucleotides) under uncultured bacterium. RNAcentral describes it as "partial 16S ribosomal RNA". It matches the Rfam family "Bacterial small subunit ribosomal RNA", at positions 28 to 507 of the family's 1533-position model. The record is from RNAcentral.